RNAcentral lists this long non-coding RNA (534 nucleotides) under Musa acuminata (dwarf banana). RNAcentral's name for it is "long non-coding RNA (MACU_LNC011811)". Lineage: Eukaryota; Viridiplantae; Streptophyta; Magnoliopsida; Zingiberales; Musaceae. The record is from RNAcentral.
AUUGAAAACUUUGUUGGGUUUUGCCUAUUCAAUUUUCAUCCUAUGGGAAAUAUGAUUUCUGCGAAAUUCUUCUUCAAUUGAGCUUUAUAUUAGUCCUUUGAAGUUCUUGUAUUGUUCAUCCUGAAAUUAUUGUAUAACUGAAAUUUAUUAUGUAAUGCUUUGUUUGCAUUUCCUUGUUUGAUAAAGGCACAUGCAUAUCUUCGUUGUUCCGCAUGUGCUUCUGAUAUGUGUCAAUGUUAUUGUUCAUACUACCCUUUUGUACUCUGGUGUCUUGUGGGAUAUUGUGAACCUUUGCAAGAAAUGGUAAAGGGAGUUAUGCUUAGAGCCCGCGAUUGCUCUGCCGGCCCCAUUGACUUCACUCAGACGUGGGUGGAUGGAGCUCCCAAACGUGGGAGACUUAUGCUUGGUGGUCAUCCAGAAAUGGAUGAAUCACAUUAUGUAUGUGGUCCCACAGCGCCCUCUAUGUUUAUUGAUAUGAUAUCCAAAGCUUUGUUUAUGAGUUCAUAUUAUGCUUUGGAUAAAAAUGGAAUGCAU